UGGUAGGGACGAUUAUUGGGCUUAAAGCGUCCGUAGCCGGCUUAGCAAGUCUCCUGUUAAAUUCAGCGACUCAAUCGUUGAGCCGCGGGAGAUACUACUAGGCUAGGAGGCGGGAGAGGUCGACGGUAUUCCCGGGGGAGGGGUGAAAUCCUAUAAUCCCGGGAGGACCACCAGUGGCGAAG
This 182-nucleotide ribosomal RNA is filed under the name Candidatus Bathyarchaeota archaeon. RNAcentral's name for it is "partial 16S ribosomal RNA". It matches the Rfam family "Archaeal small subunit ribosomal RNA", at positions 489 to 671 of the family's 1478-position model. Lineage: Archaea; Thermoproteati; Candidatus Bathyarchaeota. The record is from RNAcentral.